UGGGGAAUCUUGCGCAAUGGGCGGAAGCCUGACGCAGCGACGCCGCGUGCGGGACGAAGGCCUUCGGGUCGUAAACCGCUUUCAGCAGGGACGAGGCCCUCACGGUGACGGUACCUGCAGAAGAAGCCCCGGCUAACUACGUGCCAGCAGCCGCGGUAAUACGUAGGGGGCGAGCGUUAUCCGGAGUCAUUGGGCGUAAAGCGCGGGUAGGCGGCCUGUUAGGUCGGGGGUCAAAUACCGGGGCGCAACCCCGGUCCGCCCCCGAUACCGGCAGGCUUGAGUCUGGUAGGGGAAGGCGGAAUUCCCAGUGUAGCGGUGGAAUGCGGAGAUAUUGGGAAGAACACCGGCGGCGAAGGCGGCCUUCUGGGCCACGACUGACGCUGAGGCGCGAAAGCUAGGGGAGCGAACAGG
This 411-nucleotide ribosomal RNA is filed under the name bacterium. RNAcentral's name for it is "partial 16S ribosomal RNA". It matches the Rfam family "Bacterial small subunit ribosomal RNA", at positions 355 to 776 of the family's 1533-position model. The record is from RNAcentral.